This 253-nucleotide ribosomal RNA is filed under the name uncultured bacterium. RNAcentral describes it as "partial 16S ribosomal RNA". It matches the Rfam family "Bacterial small subunit ribosomal RNA", at positions 524 to 776 of the family's 1533-position model. The record is from RNAcentral.
UACGUAGGGUGCAAGCGUUAAUCGGAAUUACUGGGCGUAAAGCGUGCGCAGGCGGUUAUGUAAGACAGGCGUGAAAGCCCCGGGCUCAACCUGGGAGGUGCGCUUGAUACUCGAGGGCUUGAGUGCGGGAGAGGAGAGUGGAAUUCCCAGUGUAGAGGUGAAAUUCGUAGAUAUCAGGAGGAACACCUGUGGUGUAGGCGGCUUUCUGGACCAUAGCUGACGCUGAGACACGAAAGCGUGGGUAGCAAACAGG